UCUGCCUCGGAAACUACAUAACGACUGGGAAGGACCUCCAAACAAGACUGGAACCAGUAGGAAGUUGUACAGUGGGAAGAAGAGGAUGGUCAAGAUUGACUGGCUGGAAGAUGAGAGAGCUCCCUCCUGAUGGUUUCUACUUGCCUUUGAAAUUCAUCAGCUAAGGCCAAGAAGAAGCAAGGGGUUCAUCAAAUCAAAUUUGAACCUUCAGCUACUCCACUUGAAAAAUCAUGAUGGUUGGUUUAAGAAUCAGCAAGGUCUUUGAAGUUCUCUGGAAUGCAAGGCAAAUUAUAACUGGCUUCUUAACUGACAUAUAUAAAGUAUUACAGGUUUAUUGUCAAAAAUUAAGGAAAUACAGAAAACUCUAAAGAAGACGAGAAACGGGCUUACCUGGUGGCACAGUGGUUAAGAAUCCACCUGCCAAUGCAGGGGACAUGGGUUCAAGCCCUGGUCCGGGAAGAUCCCACAUGCUGCAGAGCAGCUAAGCCCGUGUGCCGCAACUACUGAGCCUGUGAGCCACAACUACUGAAGCCCAUGCACCUAGAGCCCCCAUGCUCUGCAACAAGAGAAGCCACCACAAUGAGAAGCCCGUGCACCAAGAUGAAGAGUAGCCCCCGCUCACCACAACUAGAGAAAACCCACGUGCAGCAACAAAGACCCAACAUAGCCAAAAAUAAAUAAAUAAAAUAAAUUAAUUUUAAAAAAUGUUUAAAAAAAAUGACAAGAAGUCACUUCUAAUUCUACCACUUAAUAAUAA
Molecule: long non-coding RNA, 757 nt
Organism: Physeter macrocephalus (sperm whale)
Lineage: Eukaryota; Metazoa; Chordata; Mammalia; Artiodactyla; Physeteridae
Exons: 4
Source: RefSeq, a predicted model, not a curated record